AUUUACAACUGAAGACUCCAUGAUCACGUGGAUAGUGCUAGGUCAUUAUUUUGUUUGUUGUUGCAGUUGUUUAGAUCAAACCUCAUGUGUCUUGGAAGAAUUUUAUGGAAAUAGUUUAUGACGUAAGACAACUGUUUUCUUGGGGGGCUGUAAUGAUCCAUCAAAACUUUCACAUGCUAAAUUUCACUUUUCAAUUGUAUUUUGGUUUCGAAAUUCAAGGACUCAAAAACUGAAAAAGCUAAACAUAACUAACAAUAUGGAUGCUUUUUCACACAGCAGUAAAUUUUACUUUCUAUACUACACACUUAUUACAUGACUGUGUCUCACAAGGACUGGGAACUACCAAAUUCACGAAUUAGAUCAGCUGAAAUCGAUGUCGACCGCAGUCUUGAUUUUCCCAUCUAGACCGGCAUCUAGACCAAUUACAUCUUGCGGUGAAAAAGUUGCAAACUAAAAUACAAACAUAUUGACUAAUUUCUUCUAAAAAUAUUAGUUCCAGAAAAUAUUCACAUAAUGCAAGUACCAAAAAGCCUGAUAAAAAAAAAAAAAGGGAAAGAGGAUGAGCAAGCUUUGGCAGAUUUAAGUUCAGCUCGUCACCAUUAGUAAGCAAAAUUUCAGCUAGAACAAACCAGUUAUAUUAAACAAAUUAAAUUUUUCUUGUUUGCAAUAUAAUAAGCAUCUCAUUAACCGAGCUUAGUUGGUCUAUUUGGGAGAAUCUUGACCUCAGUCAUGUGUACAGACCAAACACUGUACUCAUGGCUUCGGUCAACAUUCUCCCAUACAGACCUCCUGCUUGGUCAAUAAGAGCUAAAUCCUCAGGGCAACACAAUCUCUGUUAAGAAAAAAA
Molecule: long non-coding RNA, 847 nt
Organism: Orbicella faveolata
Lineage: Eukaryota; Metazoa; Cnidaria; Anthozoa; Scleractinia; Merulinidae
Source: RefSeq, a predicted model, not a curated record